Molecule: long non-coding RNA, 2325 nt
Organism: Nothobranchius furzeri (turquoise killifish)
Lineage: Eukaryota; Metazoa; Chordata; Actinopteri; Cyprinodontiformes; Nothobranchiidae
Source: Ensembl
GUGUGUGUGUGUGUGUGUGUGUGUGUGUGUGUGUGUGUGUGUGUGUGUGUGUGUGUGUGUGUGUGUGUGAACCAGUUGUUAAUUGCUGUCCUACGACUUUCUGCCUCUCUGUCCUGUUUGCUCCGGUUGAAAGACACCCAAAACCACACCCCCGUCACGUGGUCUCACACACACACAAGUUCGCCGUGUGUGUGUGUGUGUGUGAGUUAGUGCAUGGCUACGUGGGAGUGUUUGGAUGUUAUAAAACAGCGUUAGUAAAAAAAAAGUUGAAAACUUACGGUGUUUUUUCGUUUGCAGAAGCUGCUCCUGGAUGCCUUCGUUUGAGGUGCUGGUGCAUAGCCGUCGUGCUUUUAUGAUAGGCCAUUUCCACUUUACACAGCCAGCAAACGACUGAAUUGCUUCCUUUUCCGUUAAAAUAGUCCCAUACCUUUGAACUGCAAGUUCGGGUUGAGUGAUUUAAGUCGACUGCCCCGCUCUUGUUGCCACUACUCGCCACUGCCAUGUUUGUUUUUGAACGUGAUGACGCAUCGACGCAAAUUAUUUGCGUCGACGUAUUUUACGUGUCGACGUAAUCGAUUACGUUGACGCGUCGUCCCGGCCCUAACGUAGAUCUAUCAUGCCAUUCAAAUCCUAGAGUUUCACCGUCUGUUUCCUAUCAGAAGCUGAUACAGGAGAAAGGCGUAGAAGACUGUUUUCAUGUUCAGCCUGCAGUAUAAUCAGAAAUAAGAUUUUUAAAAAAUCCUUUUUUCAGUGUUCCACACCUUUAAUACGCUCAGCCUUGAGGCAUGUGGGAUGUUACUUUCAUCAGUCCACCUGGAUUUGGCACCUGCAUUCGGGGUGCCUCAACUGCAAAAGCUCAACAUUAACAAUAGACCACAGUUAAGCACAGAAGAAAUAAAACAAAUAGAAAUAUAACCCGAGACAAAACAAAUGCCCCCUAGUGGCUGGCUGCAGUGCAUGUCUAAAACUCCGCCCCCUCCAUGUUUACAAUUUUCUUCAUUAAAAUAUAAUCAUCAGAUAAAUAUUUUUAUGUUUAGAUAAUUAGAUAAUAUACAUUUAUGUGUUAUUAAUAAUUAAAAAAAUAGGUGAGUUGACCUUUUGACCUUUCAUCCAUCUCCAUACACUCCAUAGAGGAGACAGAAAUGACUUUUCCUUCAAACCUGCACAUUGGCGCCCCCUCUUGGACUUGAGUGGGAAACAUCGAUCCACAAAGCAAAGCCUCCAGUUUCAAAAUCCAUACACCUGUUUUAAAAUUUGCUUCAAUACUGUAAAAAGAAAAAUAUCUUGGAAAAUACCAGCUGCUAUUUACUGACACACUAGUGUUUUCAGUCUGAUUGAAACAUUAAACAACAAAAACUCGCUUGUUAGUAAGAAUGUUUCAGUUCAGGAAAAACUGCAAAUUUAAAAAGGAAAUUUCAUCUAACAAAAUAUUACAUUUCCUGUUAUUCAUUUGUUAUUAUUGUAGAUAUUUAUGUGCAUGGUAUUUGAACAAUAACAUCAUAUAGAGGUUUAAUAAGCUGUGAACCACUGGCUUCAUCGGCUAACUAUGAUGCUUACCUUGCUAACCAGCUGGUUUUCAUUAGGUUUGAAUGCUGAUCAUCAGAAAAUCCACCCCUCCAGGCUUCGAUGUUUGCCUCUUCAGUAACAACCAGCAUCUGGUGAUCAAGUCAGCAGCUGGAAAGGGUAGCACAGAUGUUGCAGGAAGAAGGAAAAAAACACUAAAUUAGAUUUUUAUAAAAAAUAGUUUUCUCUCAUCAGUCUCGUCCAGUCCAAGUAACUCCACUCCCUGGAGGAAAAAGUAGGUUGUUUUUGCUUUAUUUCCUGCUUUUUCCAAACAAUAACAAAGAACCUUUUCUCAAAAUGUUAUUUGUACAAACAUCUUCGUAAAAAAGCCCAAAAAACACUUAAAAUGUCAUUUUGAUGACAUCAUAGACAGCAAAUUGUUUAAAUACAUCAAUAUGUAGCGUUAAUAGAUCUGUGAACCGGGCCAAAAGACUGCCAGUGUUUUAAACCGAGAUCUUCCUGUAGCAGACUUACUGGAUGCUUUGUGGUUACGAGUAGGGAUGCACCGAUGGAUCGGCAUUUGAUCCCAAUCGGCCGAUAGCGCCCCUAUCGGUUUUGAUCGGAGUUUUCAAAAUAGAUCAAAGCAGACCGAUCAGACCAUUUUAGAUUAGGUUACAUUUCCUUCAUUCCCAGAUUAUGUAGUUUGUGGCACUCAUGUAGAAAAUUUCUGGCCAAUCUGGUGAUCAGCAUUCUUUGAUAAAGGUAUCGUGAUCGGCAGCAAAAAACCUGAUCGGUGCAUCCCUAGUUACGAGGGGCUCUUUG